CGGGCGUGCUGAGCCCUCGCCCCUCCCUCGGGCAGUCACCUGGGCACCCGCGCUACAGGUGCCGGGGCCUCGAUCUUGCGGAGCCGGCGGCCAUCGAUCUUCGGGUGGCCUCGAGGCGGUGGCAGGGCCGCCUCCUGCAGUCCGGAGGCGAGCGCACGAACCCGGCCUCCGGAGGAAGGUUCAGCUGGGAGAAACCGCUCCCGCUUGGUGCUACACUUGCGCAAAAUGAUUCUGGUAAGGGGAAGCGUUGCUUAAAUCCCAGAAAUAACCCCUACCGCGAAGCAUUGCCAAAGACACAGGAACGAGUGUUUAGCUCUCAGGAUUGUUACUGCCUCGAGUGAAAUGGUUUCGUGUGUAUGAAUAUAAACAUAUAUGUAUACAUUUGACAAGCUCUUAGGCCGGCGGUUAGUUGUGGUAUCUCCAGAAGAGCGUUAUUAUAGUUAUUUGGGAAUUGUCAGUGGGGAUCAGCCUGACUGCUAUUGGAAUUGGAG
Molecule: long non-coding RNA, 491 nt
Filed under: Saimiri boliviensis boliviensis (Bolivian squirrel monkey)
Lineage: Eukaryota; Metazoa; Chordata; Mammalia; Primates; Cebidae
Description: lncRNA (ENSSBOG00000036526.1)
Source: RNAcentral